AACGAACGCCGGCGGCAGGCCUGACACAUGCAAGUCGAGCGCCCGGAUUUAUCCGGGAGCGGCGCACGGGUGAGUAACGCGUGGGAACAUGCCCUGAAGUACGGAACAACCUGGGGAAACCUUGGCUAAUACCGUAUACGCCCUGAGGGGGAAAGAUUUAUCGCUUUGGGAUUGGCCCGCGUUGGAUUAGCUGGUUGGUGUGGUAACGGCGCACCAAGGCGACGAUCCAUAACUGGUCUGAGAGGAUGACCAGUCACACUGGGACUGAGACACGGCCCAGACUCCUACGGGAGGCAGCAGUGGGGAAUAUUGGACAAUGGGCGAAAGCCUGAUCCAGCCAUGCCGCGUGAGUGAAGAAGGCCUUCGGGUUGUAAAGCUCUUUCAGCGGGGACGAUGAUGACGGUACCCGCAGAAGAAGCCCCGGCUAACUUCGUGCCAGCCGCCGCAGUAA
This 451-nucleotide ribosomal RNA is filed under the name uncultured bacterium. RNAcentral describes it as "partial 16S ribosomal RNA". It matches the Rfam family "Bacterial small subunit ribosomal RNA", at positions 29 to 523 of the family's 1533-position model. The record is from RNAcentral.